Long non-coding RNA from Gossypium arboreum, 625 nucleotides. RefSeq lists it as uncharacterized. Lineage: Eukaryota; Viridiplantae; Streptophyta; Magnoliopsida; Malvales; Malvaceae. The transcript has 2 exons. The record is from RefSeq and is a predicted model, not a curated record.
AAUUAAAUAUCUACAACAUACAAAGUAUUAUUGUUUUUUGGGCCAAUUUUGAGGAGCGGAAGAGGUUGUAGAGAAUUGAAACCUUAAAUCUGGUGCCAACUUUAAAUCCAGUGGCCAAAGCAUUAUUGCUUAAUGUGCUAAUUAAUGGCCUUUCUGCUCAGCUCUCAAAUAAGUGCAACUCUUAACUACUCAUUCUGGUUGUGCACCAUAAGCACAAGAUGCGGAGUUAUUCUCUCUUAAAGUUAGAGAAGAAAUAGGGCCAUAGGGCCAUCACCUGCCAGCCGAAUCGUCAUGAACAUGGAAGCAGCAGAAAAAUAGCUACCCAGAACCUUGCUAGCCGACUGUGUGUGGUGAUGGACUGGCCCUUUUGAAAGUGGGACUGUGAUCAUGUGUUUGUUUCAUUGCUAGAACCUAGAAGUUGCUUCCAGACAAAAGAAGGGUACGGAAAACUUUAUUUGAUUGUCUUUACUACUUUAACUUGAGUACUUAGGUUUAGCUAUAAUUUCUCACCAUAUAACUCCAUCGUAAAAUUGGAUCUUUUCAGUCUCACUUCACAAAUAUUUCCUUCCAUAUUGUUUGGUUAAUUGGUGUCAAAGAAUAAUAGAAGUGUAAUUUUGGGCGUUAA